AUACGGGGGGUGCAAGCGCUAAUCGGAAUUACUGGGCGUAAAGCGCGCGUAGGCGGUUUGCUCAGUCGGAUGUGAAAGCCCAGGGCUCAACCUUGGAACUGCAUACGAUACUGGCAAACUAGAGUGUGAGAGAGGACAGUGGAAUUUCCGGUGUAGCGGUGAAAUGCGUAGAUAUCGGAAGGAACAUCAGUGGCGAAGGCGACUGUCUGGCUCAACACUGACGCUGAGGUGCGAAAGCGUGGGUAGCAAACAGGAUUAGAUACCCUAGUAGUCC
This 274-nucleotide ribosomal RNA is filed under the name uncultured bacterium. RNAcentral's name for it is "partial 16S ribosomal RNA". It matches the Rfam family "Bacterial small subunit ribosomal RNA", at positions 523 to 796 of the family's 1533-position model. The record is from RNAcentral.